UUAUGAUUACAAAUCAUCGGUUCUAAUGGGAACAGUCAUUAGAAGUAAUGGGGAAAGUUUGGUGUAAGUCCAACGCUGUCCCGCAACUGUGAUGAGAUUAUCAACAGAUCUCUUAGUCAGAAUGCCCGCCGAGCAACAGUUAUCAGU
RNAcentral lists this non-coding RNA (147 nucleotides) under Stanieria cyanosphaera. The record is from RNAcentral. Lineage: Bacteria; Bacillati; Cyanobacteriota; Cyanophyceae; Pleurocapsales; Dermocarpellaceae. RNAcentral also lists the same sequence under 1 other name.